Molecule: ribosomal RNA, 333 nt
Filed under: Vibrio parahaemolyticus
Lineage: Bacteria; Pseudomonadati; Pseudomonadota; Gammaproteobacteria; Vibrionales; Vibrionaceae
Description: bacterial SSU rRNA
Source: RNAcentral
AAAUUGAAGAGUUUGAUCAUGGCUCAGAUUGAACGCUGGCGGCAGGCCUAACACAUGCAAGUCGAGCGGAAACGAGUUAUCUGAACCUUCGGGGAACGAUAACGGCGUCGAGCGGCGGACGGGUGAGUAAURCCUAGGAAAUUGCCCUGAUGUGGGGGAUAACCAUUGGAAACGAUGGCUAAUACCGCAUGAUGCCUACGGGCCAAAGAGGGGGACCUUCGGGCCUCUCGCGUCAGGAUAUGCCUAGGUGGGAUUAGCUAGUUGGUGAGGUAAGGGCUCACCAAGGCGACGAUCCCUAGCUGGUCUGAGAGGAUGAUCAGCCACACUGGAACU